CCAUCAAGCAUCGAGAGCAAUCAGCGAGGAUCACCAAAGAUUUCUCGUGGAAACCCUUCAUCGUGCUCGCCUCGAUUCCUCACCAUAGUAGUCACUCGAGCUCGAGGUAAGCCUCGGCUCCUCUUCCUCCCUUUCACUCUUUCCUUUCUUUGUUUGUGUGCACGACCGUCUGUGGUCGGAUUUGUUGAAUUUCCUUAGAAAAAAAUAUCUCCUAUUUUGGACUGUUUUCGCCCCUCUUUUUCUUUUGUUUUUCGAUGUCGGUGGUCAUCGUCGACCAUUGGUUUGGCUUCUUUUGGAUUACACCAUCGCAGCCUCUGCUGUCACUAGCCACCAGCCGACAGUCAUGGCUCUUAGCCCGAGGAAUAGGAAGGGACCUC
Molecule: long non-coding RNA, 377 nt
Filed under: Elaeis guineensis (African oil palm)
Lineage: Eukaryota; Viridiplantae; Streptophyta; Magnoliopsida; Arecales; Arecaceae
Description: long non-coding RNA (EGUI_LNC040886)
Source: RNAcentral